This is a non-coding RNA of Mycoplasma sp. CAG:611_25_7, 207 nucleotides long. The record is from Rfam. Lineage: Bacteria; Bacillati; Mycoplasmatota; Mollicutes; Mycoplasmatales; Mycoplasmataceae.
AUAAAUGUUUAGAAAAAGAGAAGUAAAUUAAUUAUAUUAUUUAGAGAGUUGUUGGUUGGUGAAAAACAAUUAGUAAAUUAAUCGAAGGUAGCUUUGGAACUGAUUAUUUGAAGUAGUAGUAAAAUAAUCCGUAUAAUAUGCGUUAAAUAUAUGAGAUUUCAAUAUGAAAUGUUAAAAGGUGGUACCGUGCUUUUAAGCACCCUUUGG